GGAAACCAGCCUACGAAGAAACCCCAACAAGCGACCAGGGGUCCGACAGCUCCACCAAGGUUUCAUACCAGCCCAGUGUGUGAGAUGAGACCAGAAGGAGCCUGCCCAAGUUUGGCUGUGAAUUGCAGAGGCUCAGAGCUGUUUAGGAUGUUCCUUAAUCCUGGCUCUCACUCAUCCAUUCUGACUCCAGCUGUAACUAGAAUUGGAGGAUAAUCAUGUUUUUCUGAUGGAUUUUGGCCAAUUCUUGCUUCAGAUUCUGCUGACAGCCCAGGAGGAAGCCAACAUGGAGAAGAGGCAGAUCAGGAGCUUCAUGGCCAGAGUUUGAUCUGAAAUAAGCAGCCCCUUCUUUUGGGCUUCAGGCCUUCAGUUCAUGAGACUUGUUGCCUGGUCCCCACAGCCUUCUGGGGGGGGGUGUGACCCACUGGGACUGGGACCACAUGAACUCUUCCAAGUAAAUUUGUUGCCUUCAAUUUGCCUAAUUUUUAUCUCACACAUUCUUGCUUUUCCACCUGUGGCCCUUGAGGAACAUACUCCGUCCAUCUGCUGUUCCCACCAUACGAUUCCCUCCAUCUUCCUUCCCUUCUCAUAGGCUGGCAUUCCUUAUUUUUUUCUAGAAAUAAGACUUUUAUGCCUCAAUGGAUUUGCUGCACCUUGCUUUGAAGACACUGGAUGUAAUUGUCAUUAUUGCUUUGCAAUAUUCAUUGGACUGAAAUAAACAAGGGUGCUCCACCUCCUUCUUUA
Non-coding RNA from Podarcis muralis (Common wall lizard), 741 nucleotides. The record is from RefSeq and is a predicted model, not a curated record. Lineage: Eukaryota; Metazoa; Chordata; Lepidosauria; Squamata; Lacertidae.